AGAGUUUGAUCAUGGCUCAGGACGAACGCUGGCGGCGUGCCUAAUACAUGCAAGUCGAGCGGACAGAAGGGAGCUUGCUCCCGGGAAGUCAGCGGCGGACGGGUGAGUAACACGUAGGUAACCUGCCCCUUAGACUGGGAUAACUCCGGGAAACCGGAGCUAAUACGGGAUAAUAAAGAGAAUCACCUGAUUCUCUUUUGAAAGACGGUUUCGGCUGUCACUAAGGGAUGGGCCUGCGGCGCAUUAGCUAGUUGGUAAGGUAACGGCUUACCAAGGCGACGAUGCGUAGCCGACCUGAGAGGGUGAUCGGCCACACUGGGACUGAGACACGGGCCAGACUCCUACGGGAGGCAGCAGUAGGGAAUCUUCCGCAAUGGACGAAAGUCUGACGGAGCAACGCCGCGUGAGUGAGGAAGGCCUUCGGGUCGUAAAGCUCUGUUGUGAGGGAAGAACAAGUACCGGGGUAACUACCGGUACCUUGACGGUACCUCACCAGAAAGGCACGGGUAACUACGUGCCAGCAGCCGCGGUAAUACCUAGGUGGCAAGCCUUUUUCCGGAAUUUUUGGGGGGUAAAGGCGCGCAGGGGGGUUCUUAAGUCUGGAUGUGAAAUCUCGGGGUCGAAACCCGGCUCAACAUUGGGAACUGGGGAGUUUGAUUCGAAAGAGGAGAUGGGAUUCCGCGUUUAUGUGGAAUGCGUGGAUAUUGGGGGGAAACCAUUGGGGAGGGCAAUUUUUGAGCUGUAACUGACUCUGAAGCCCAUUCAACGGCAGUCUCAAAAGCCCGAUAAGAUCCCUGGGGCUCCCGGUUUAAUCAGAACAAAGCUCGAACUACCUUACCAGGUCUUGAUAUCCUUUGACCCACUCUGAGAAAGAGAGCUUCCCUUCGGGGGCAAAGUGACAGGUGGUGCAUGGUUGUCGUCAGCUCGUGUCGUGAGAUGUUGGGUUAAGUCCCGCAACGAGCGCAACCCUUGAUCUUAGUUGCCAGCAUUUAGUUGGGCACUCUAAGGUGACUGCCGGUGACAAACCGGAGGAAGGUGGGGACGACGUCAAAUCAUCAUGCCCCUUAUGACCUGGGCUACACACGUGCUACAAUGGAUGGUACAAAGGGCAGCGAAACCGCGAGGUGGAGCCAAUCCCAUAAAGCCAUUCUCAGUUCGGAUUGUAGGCUGCAACUCGCCUACAUGAAGCCGGAAUUGCUAGUAAUCGCGGAUCAGCAUGCCGCGGUGAAUACGUUCCCGGGUCUUGUACACACCGCCCGUCACACCACGAGAGUUUGUAACACCCGAAGUCGGUGAGGUAACCUUUUGGAGCCAGCCGCCUAAGGUGGGACAAAUGAUUGGGGUGAAGUCGUAACAAGGUAGCC
Molecule: ribosomal RNA, 1364 nt
Filed under: Bacillus sp. YUA25
Lineage: Bacteria; Bacillati; Bacillota; Bacilli; Caryophanales; Bacillaceae
Description: partial 16S ribosomal RNA
Rfam family: Bacterial small subunit ribosomal RNA
Source: RNAcentral